RNAcentral lists this ribosomal RNA (187 nucleotides) under uncultured Staphylococcus sp. RNAcentral describes it as "partial 16S ribosomal RNA". It matches the Rfam family "Bacterial small subunit ribosomal RNA", at positions 153 to 334 of the family's 1533-position model. Lineage: Bacteria; Bacillati; Bacillota; Bacilli; Caryophanales; Staphylococcaceae. The record is from RNAcentral.
GAAACCGGAGCUAAUACCGGAUAACAUGUUGAACCGCAUGGUUCAACAGUGAAAGACGGUCUUGCUGUCACUUAUAGAUGGAUCCGCGUCGCAUUAGCUAGUUGGUAAGGUAACGGCUUACCAAGGCAACGAUGCGUAGCCGACCUGAGAGGGUGAUCGGCCACACUGGAACUGAGACACGGUCCAG